UCGUGAGACAGUUCGGUCCCUAUCUGCCGUGGGUGUAGGAGACUUGAGAAGAGUUGCCCCUAGUACGAGAGGACCGGGGUGAACGUUCCUCUGGUGUAUCUGUUGUCCUGCCAAGGGCAUCGCAGAUUAGCUACGAACGGAUCGGAUAACCGCUGAAGGCAUCUAAGCGGGAAGCCGGCCUCGAGAUGAACUCUCCCAUCUCCUAGAGAGAGUAAGGACCCUGGUAGACCACCAGGUUGAUAGGCCGGAUCUGGAAGCGCGGCAACGCGUGGAGGAGACCGGUACUAAUGGUCCGAGGGCUUGACGG
This 307-nucleotide ribosomal RNA is filed under the name Actinomycetota bacterium. RNAcentral's name for it is "Actinobacteria bacterium partial 23S ribosomal RNA". It matches the Rfam family "Bacterial large subunit ribosomal RNA", at positions 2619 to 2925 of the family's 2925-position model. Lineage: Bacteria; Bacillati; Actinomycetota. The record is from RNAcentral.